GGUUAAGUGACUAAGCGUACACGGUGGAUGCCCUGGCAGUCAGAGGCGAUGAAGGACGUGCUAAUCUGCGAUAAGCGUCGGUAAGGUGAUAUGAACCGUUAUAACCGGCGAUUUCCGAAUGGGGAAACCCAGUGU
This 135-nucleotide ribosomal RNA is filed under the name Escherichia coli. Its description in RNAcentral is "partial 23S ribosomal RNA". It matches the Rfam family "Bacterial large subunit ribosomal RNA", at positions 1 to 134 of the family's 2925-position model. Lineage: Bacteria; Pseudomonadati; Pseudomonadota; Gammaproteobacteria; Enterobacterales; Enterobacteriaceae. The record is from RNAcentral.